This 494-nucleotide ribosomal RNA is filed under the name uncultured bacterium. RNAcentral's name for it is "bacterial SSU rRNA". It matches the Rfam family "Bacterial small subunit ribosomal RNA", at positions 903 to 1397 of the family's 1533-position model. The record is from RNAcentral.
AAAGGAAUUGACGGGGGCCCGCACAAGCAGCGGAGCAUGUGGUUUAAUUCGAAGCAACGCGAAGAACCUUACCAGGUCUUGACAUCGAUGGAACCUGUAGAGAUACGGGGUGCCCUUCGGGGCCCUGAAGACAGGUGGUGCAUGGUUGUCGUCAGCUCGUGUCGUGAGAUGUUGGGUUAAGUCCCGCAACGAGCGCAACCCUUGUUGUCAGUUACUAACGCGUAGGGGCGAGGACUCUGACGAGACUGCCGGGGACAACUCGGAGGAAGGUGGGGACGACGUCAAAUCAUCAUGCCCCUUAUGACCUGGGCUACACACGUGCUACAAUGGCCACUACAAAGAGGAGCGAGGUCGCAAGACGGAGCGGAUCUGAGAAAAGUGGUCUCAGUUCAGAUCGUGGGCUGCAACCCGCCCACGUGAAGUCGGAGUUGCUAGUAAUCGCGAAUCAGCAUGUCGCGGUGAAUACGUUCCCGGGCCUUGUACACACCGCCCGU